AUUGAACGCUGGCGGCAUGCCUUACACAUGCAAGUCGAACGCAUCGCAAGAUGAGUGGCAGACGGGUGAGUAACGCGUGGGAACAUACCCUUUUCUACGGAAUAGCUCUGGGAAACUGGAAUUAAUACCGUAUACGCCCUACGGGGGAAAGAUUUAUCGGGGAAGGAUUGGCCCGCGUUGGAUUAGCUAGUUGGUGGGGUAAAGGCCUACCAAGGCGACGAUCCAUAGCUGGUCUGAGAGGAUGAUCAGCCACAUUGGGACUGAGACACGGCCCAAACUCCUACGGGAGGCAGCAGUGGGGAAUAUUGGACAAUGGGCGCAAGCCUGAUCCAGCCAUGCCGCGUGAGUGAUGAAGGCCUUAGGGUUGUAAAGCUCUUUCACCGAUGAAGAUAAUGACGGUAGUCGGAGAAGAAGCCCCGGCUAACUUCGUGCCAGCAGCCGCAGUAA
This 447-nucleotide ribosomal RNA is filed under the name uncultured bacterium. RNAcentral describes it as "partial 16S ribosomal RNA". It matches the Rfam family "Bacterial small subunit ribosomal RNA", at positions 30 to 523 of the family's 1533-position model. The record is from RNAcentral.